Molecule: ribosomal RNA, 440 nt
Filed under: uncultured bacterium
Lineage: Bacteria
Description: partial 16S ribosomal RNA
Rfam family: Bacterial small subunit ribosomal RNA
Source: RNAcentral
CCUACGGGAGGCAGCAGUGGGGAAUAUUGCACAAUGGGGGAAACCCUGAUGCAGCGACGCCGCGUGAGUGAAGAAGUAUUUCGGUAUGUAAAGCUCUAUCAGCAGGGAAGCAAAUGACGGUACCUGAUUAAGAAGCCCCGGCUAACUACGUGCCAGCAGCCGCAGUAAUACUUAGGGGGCCAGCGUUAUCCGGAUUUACUGGGUGUAAAGGGAGCUUAGACGGCAGCACAAGUCUGGAGUGAACUGCCGGGGCUUAACCCCGGAACUUCUUUGGAAACUGUGCAGCUAGAGUGCAGGAGAGGUAAGUGGAAUGCCUAGUGUAGCGGUGAAAUGCGUAGAUAUUAGGAGGAACACCAGUGGCGAAGGCGGCUUACGGGACUGUAACUGACGUUGAGGCACGAAAGCGUGGGGAGCAAACAGGAUUAGAUACCCUAGUAGUC